Molecule: long non-coding RNA, 1026 nt
Filed under: Mus pahari (shrew mouse)
Lineage: Eukaryota; Metazoa; Chordata; Mammalia; Rodentia; Muridae
Description: lncRNA (MGP_PahariEiJ_G0002594.1)
Source: RNAcentral
CUUACAGGGCAGCAAGCCAGCCAGUGCAGGCAAGCAGACUGGCAGACAAGACAGACAGAUUCACCCUAGGGUAACUUUAGCUCCUUGCACAGGUACAGAUGGGCCAUCUAGCCAACACCCUGGAACACUUUCUCGGCCUGCUUCACAGCAGGAGGGCAGAAACUUAAGACCCACUCUUGGUGAAACUUCACUGGCCAAAAAGGAAAACUAAGAUCUAGAACUGAGAGGCCCAGAUAGGCCCAGCCUCAGUCCUCUCUAGUGAUGCGAGAGCAAACUCUCCUACAGUGGUCUCCCCAGUUACUUCAUCUCAGAGGAGCCACUUAAAAAAGGAGGUAAACUACUAAAAUUAGCUAAAAACUCCCUGAAACUGAACAGAUUCACUAGGCUCCUCCCUGCCAGAGUAAACUAUAAAAGCUGAGAGUCCCUCUCAGAAGGGGAAAAAAAGCUGAGCCACAAAGGCAGAAAGGAGAACUGCAAAGACUCAGACCAGAACAGCUGCCUAGAAGAAUACCAACCAUGCUGCCUACAAGAGGUGUAGGCCUGAGAGUCACUGGGAAAGGAUCUCCCCAACUUGUUGAGCUGCCUGCAGGCUGUUCAGUGACCUCCAGGUUCCCAGUUCUGAGCUGUGACCCAUGCUGGGGUGGGCCAUGGUGAUGCAGCUGUCUUUUGAGUCAUUUCUGCUCCUGAUCCCAUCUUGGUGGCUGGCUGAACAGCCUGGAAUUCAUUAUGCAAACUCAGCAGGCCUUGAACUCAAAGUGAUUCACCUAUCUCUGCUUCCCAAGUGCUGGGAUUAAAGUGGGCCAGGUGCGUCUGUGAAACCUGGGCGGCGCUGAAACUCACACCUGCUUUUGUCUUCCGAGUACGAGGACUAAAGAUGGGUACCACCAUGCUCAUCCUCAGGUAUUCAGAGCAGAAACCAUGCCACUCAGCUGUGCCCCGGAUGCUGAUAGCUGAUCUGCCCUCUGUCAACUCAUCACCCCAGAUGUGUCCCGUGCCUCCUGUUUACUAAACAAUGAAUUAAUCAUC